This is a long non-coding RNA of Momordica charantia (bitter melon), 737 nucleotides long. RefSeq lists it as uncharacterized. NCBI's taxonomy places the organism in Eukaryota, Viridiplantae, Streptophyta, Magnoliopsida, Cucurbitales, Cucurbitaceae. The record is from RefSeq and is a predicted model, not a curated record.
CGAAGAUGAAAAGCCCUCUUCGCACGUGUUCCUCGCUAUUCCAUGAGCAACUCUAUUAGCUUUCCUCGAGAUAUCCAUGAAUCCUUCAAUUGGCAAGGAAUCCAUCUCCUUCCAUACGUCUUCAACAAGCAGAGAAAGUUCAGUGAGCUCCAAAGUCGAUUUAUUGAUGAUGUUCACAACUUCCAGACAAUCUGAUUCCACCUUUAUUUAAAUUCCAGCUUCAAGGGUGGAGACACCCUACCAUGAUGAAACGACCUUCAGAAUCACAAACUACCCAUUUGAGUCCACUGGCAUGCAGCGAAUCCAUCCAAGUAGCAUCAUAAUUUAGUUCCCACUGGUUCUGCGUCGGGGGAGUCCAGCCGAUGGGCCUGGGAGUUCCUUGUUCUCCAUGUUCAGGUAAAACCCGAGCAGGACAUGCGUUCGCUCCUCUACAGGCUGGGGACCACUGACGGUUACCUUCCUAAGGCAAGCAUUGUCGACACAUGUCUGCCUGGAGGGAACAAGAGACCACAGCCGGUCACGCCCUGUAUAUAGUUGUCGCUGGGAAUGCAUGUUAUUGGUACGAUAAGCACAUUCCGUAGACGCGGGCAACAUGCCCAGAGCCACAGGUGGUGGUGCUACCUUGCACCUACUGGAAGCAUGCUCCCAUCGUACAACACGCGAAAUCCCUACCACCUCUAACCGUAGUCCUUUCUGGCCAGCCCUUGAGGCUAUAAAAGGAGGGACCUUCUUCUUCA